CACGUAGGGGGCGAGCGUUGUCCGGAUUUAUUGGGCGUAAAGAGCUCGUAGGCGGCUUGUCGCGUCGUCUGUGAAAUCCCGCGGCUCAACUGCGGGUCUGCAGUCGAUACGGGCAGGCUAGAGUUCGGUAGGGGAGACUGGAAUUCCUGGUGUAGCGGUGAAGUGCGCAGAUAUCAGGAGGAACACCGGUGGCGAAGGCGGGUCUCUGGGCAUUAACUGACGCUGAGGAGCGAAAGCAUGGGGAGCGAACAGG
This 253-nucleotide ribosomal RNA is filed under the name uncultured bacterium. Its description in RNAcentral is "partial 16S ribosomal RNA". It matches the Rfam family "Bacterial small subunit ribosomal RNA", at positions 524 to 776 of the family's 1533-position model. The record is from RNAcentral.